Molecule: ribosomal RNA, 430 nt
Filed under: Acidobacteriota bacterium
Lineage: Bacteria; Pseudomonadati; Acidobacteriota
Description: Acidobacteria bacterium partial 16S ribosomal RNA
Rfam family: Bacterial small subunit ribosomal RNA
Source: RNAcentral
UGGGGAAUAUUGGACAAUGGGCGAAAGCCUGAUCCAGCCAUGCCGCGUGUGUGAAGAAGGCCUUUUGGUUGUAAAGCACUUUAAGCGAGGAGGAGGCUACUUAGAUUAAUACUCUAGGAUAGUGGACGUUACUCGCAGAAUAAGCACCGGCUAACUCUGUGCCAGCAGCCGCGGUAAUACAGAGGGUGCGAGCGUUAAUCGGAUUUACUGGCCGUAAAGCGUGCGUAGGCGGCUUUUUAAGUCGGAUGUGAAAUCCCUGAGCUUAACUUAGGAAUUGCAUUCGAUACUGGGAAGCUAGAGUAUGGGAGAGGAUGGUAGAAUUCCAGGUGUAGCGGUGAAAUGCGUAGAGAUCUGGAGGAAUACCGAUGGCGAAGGCAGCCAUCUGGCCUAAUACUGACGCUGAGGUACGAAAGCAUGGGGAGCAAACAGG